UAUGGUUCAUGCUUCAGAUCAGGUUGAUUCACCAGUGGGUUCUCUCCUGCUAAGGUUCUCUCUCCCUCUCUCGUUUUAUUCACAUUAGUUGUUUAUCUCUCACUGGUUUAGAUUUUGUUUGGAUGUUUAGUUAGAACUUGGUCUUCCAUUUGAAUAUUAUUAAUCGAUGCUUUAUUAUUUUAGUUUAUUGAUUUUGGUUUUCGGGAUUUAACUCGACUUGGGUCUCACCAUGGGUUUUGUUUAAAUCUGAUCUAUGCAUUAGUUUUAGAUGGAUUUGAGACUUACCAUUAUUGCGUACAGGACUAGUAUAUAGGCUUUCAUUGAGUUAUUUUUUCUUUUUCUUUCUUUCUUAAUUUGGGGUUUUGUUGCUAAACACGGUUGUAUAUCAUGUAGAUUAGUGUUAGGGUUCCAUUUCUUUUUCUCUUUAGUUCCAUAGCUUUAUUUAUUGUAGAGUUGUCGUCCUUAAUUGAAUUCUCUUUUAUGGAAAGACAUUUGAGGAAGCAAUUGCUAAGUUAGAAGAAUCGUGGAAGGAAAGCACCCUAGCCUCAUCAUACAACCCCUAAGGGACAACCUCAUCCUUUGGAUUUCUGAUGUGCAGGCUGAUGGCACCAUUUCAUAUGACAUUGGGUUUCAUGGACUUGAUUCUUCAUCUGCGGAUUCAUUUUGUUUAUC
Long non-coding RNA from Humulus lupulus (European hop), 672 nucleotides. RefSeq lists it as uncharacterized. NCBI's taxonomy places the organism in Eukaryota, Viridiplantae, Streptophyta, Magnoliopsida, Rosales, Cannabaceae. The transcript has 2 exons. The record is from RefSeq and is a predicted model, not a curated record.